Molecule: ribosomal RNA, 957 nt
Filed under: Adalia bipunctata (two-spotted ladybird beetle)
Lineage: Eukaryota; Metazoa; Arthropoda; Insecta; Coleoptera; Coccinellidae
Description: SSU rRNA
Rfam family: Eukaryotic small subunit ribosomal RNA
Source: RNAcentral
CCAAGGAAGGCAGCAGGCGCGCAAAUUACCCACUCCCAGCUCGGGGAGGUAGUGACGAAAAAUAACGAUACGGGACUCAUCCGAGGCCCCGUAAUCGGAAUGAGUACACUCUAAACCCUUUAACGAGGAUCAAUUGGAGGGCAAGUCUGGUGCCAGCAGCCGCGGUAAUUCCAGCUCCAAUAGCGUAUAUUAAAGUUGUUGCGGUUAAAAAGCUCGUAGUCGAAUUUGUGUCUCGCGCCGUCCGGUUCAUCGUUCGCGGUGUCAACUGGCGUGUCGCGAGACGUCCUGCCGGCGGGUCGUUCGCAAGAGCGGCCCAACUGACCCCGCCGCGGUGCUCUUCAUUGAGUGUCGAGGUGGGCCGGCACGUUUACUUUGAACAAACUAAGGUGCUUAAAGCAGGCUGAAAUUUUGCCAGAAUAUUUUAUGCAUGGAAUAAUGAAACAGGACCUCGAUUCUAUUUUGUUGGUUUUCUGAACCUCGAGGUAAUGAUUAACAGGAACGGAUGGGGGCAUUCGUAUUGCGACGUUAGAGGUGAAAUUCUUGGAUCGUCGCAAGACGGACAGAAGCGAAAGCAUUUGCCAAAAACGUUUUCAUUGAUCAAGAACGAAAGUUAGAGGUUCGAAGGCGAUCAGAUACCGCCCUAGUUCUAACCAUAAACUAUGCCAGCUAGCGAUCCGCCGACGUUCCUCCGAUGACUCGGCGGGCAGCUUCCGGGAAACCAAAGCUUUUGGGUUCCGGGGGAAGUAUGGUUGCAAAGCUGAAACUUAAAGGAAUUGACGGAAGGGCACCACCAGGAGUGGAGCCUGCGGCUUAAUUUGACUCAACACGGGAAACCUCACCAGGCCCGGACACCGGAAGGAUUGACAGAUUGAGAGCUCUUUCUUGAUUCGGUGGGUGGUGGUGCAUGGCCGUUCUUAGUUGGUGGAGCGAUUUGUCUGGUUAAUUCCGAUAACGAAC